Rana temporaria (common frog) is the source of this 449-nucleotide long non-coding RNA. RefSeq lists it as uncharacterized. The transcript is spliced from 2 exons. The record is from RefSeq and is a predicted model, not a curated record. Lineage: Eukaryota; Metazoa; Chordata; Amphibia; Anura; Ranidae.
CCAUUCUCUUGCUCAUUUUCUUCCCCCCCCCCUCGGUUUUUUGGUCUCUCCAUCGCUGGCCCCACCCCUUGGGGGUGACCCCCUGUCGUGUUGAGCAGACCCCCCCGGCGUGGGCGCUUGCUUGUGACACCGGAGAUUUGGACCAUCCCUGGAUGAGCUGUCGGACGUCGCCGUCCAGCCUUGAGCAUCACAUUGAGACAUUCCUUACAUCUUCAUUAAGUCGCAAAAAUCCUCGAAGAAGACCUGCAAGGUCGAAACGUUAGGAUCAGUCUAUACUGCAAUGCAAAUUGUUGGCCGUAUAAAUGCAUAUUUGUGUACUGUAACAUACAUCUUAUGUAAAUUUUGUCUGUGUGCCUUGCUACAACUCAUGUUCUAUUUUGCAACACACCCUUGCCCCAUUAUUGACUUAUCAAUUUUAUAACAUGUGAAUAAAUACUUUAUUUUUACUA